This 363-nucleotide non-coding RNA is filed under the name Hymenobacter crusticola. Its description in RNAcentral is "Hymenobacter sp. MIMBbqt21 Bacterial small subunit ribosomal RNA". It matches the Rfam family "Bacterial small subunit ribosomal RNA", at positions 334 to 690 of the family's 1533-position model. The record is from Rfam by way of RNAcentral. Lineage: Bacteria; Pseudomonadati; Bacteroidota; Cytophagia; Cytophagales; Hymenobacteraceae.
AACUCCUACGGGAGGCAGCAGUAGGGAAUCUUUCACAAUGGGCGAAAGCCUGAUGAAGCAACACCGCGUGAAUGAAGAAGGGUUUCGGCUCGUAAAAUUCUGUUGCUAGAGAAGAACGUACCAAGUAGGAAAUGGCUUGGUAGUGACGGUAUCUGGUUAGAAAGUCACGGCUAACUACGUGCCAGCAGCCGCGGUAAUACGUAGGUGGCAAGCGUUAUCCGGAUUUAUUGGGCGUAAAGCGAGCGCAGGUGGUUUAAUAAGUCUGAUGUAAAAGGCAGUGGCUCAACCAUUGUGUGCAUUGGAAACUGUUAGACUUGAGUGCAGUAGAGGAGAGUGGAAUUCCAUGUGUAGCGGUGAAAUGCG